This 410-nucleotide ribosomal RNA is filed under the name uncultured microorganism. RNAcentral describes it as "bacterial SSU rRNA". It matches the Rfam family "Bacterial small subunit ribosomal RNA", at positions 509 to 917 of the family's 1533-position model. The record is from RNAcentral.
CAGCCGCCGCGGUAAUACGUAGGUGGCAAGCGUUGUCCGGAAUUAUUGGGCGUAAAGCGCGCGCAGGCGGUCCCUUAAGUCUGAUGUGAAAGCCCACGGCUCAACCGUGGAGGGUCAUUGGAAACUGGGGGACUUGAGUGCAGAAGAGGAAAGUGGAAUUCCAUGUGUAGCGGUGAAAUGCGUAGAGAUGUGGAGGAACACCAGUGGCGAAGGCGACUUUCUGGUCUGUAACUGACGCUGAGGCGCGAAAGCGUGGGGAGCAAACAGGAUUAGAUACCCUGGUAGUCCACGCCGUAAACGAUGAGUGCUAAGUGUUAGGGGGUUUCUGCCCCUUAGUGCUGCAGCUAACGCAUUAAGCACUCCGCCUGGGGAGUACGGCCGCAAGGCUGAAACUUAAAGGAAUUGGCGGG